Long non-coding RNA from Zonotrichia leucophrys gambelii, 722 nucleotides. RefSeq lists it as uncharacterized. The transcript has 3 exons. The record is from RefSeq and is a predicted model, not a curated record. NCBI's taxonomy places the organism in Eukaryota, Metazoa, Chordata, Aves, Passeriformes, Passerellidae.
AUGCAGGCCCCUUUGCUCUCCUGCUCCUUGCUGGUCAGCCUGGCAAACCUGUGUGUCCUUUUUCUAAGGUGGCCUCUUCAUGCCUUUUUGGGCCAGCACCACUGCCUUUGUGCCCUCCUGUCAGCCACCAAAGGGUUUGGUGCGACAAGUUGUGCUACAGAGGCAGAAGGAAGCAGAGUUGUUCCAAGGCAGCUGCUGAUUGACCAGCAGGAUCUCCUGGAAAUCAUCUCCUCCAGCACACAUCCCCAUCCUGCCUGGUGGAUCAGGAACAAAGCGUACUUGAGAGGAGGUGACAAGGAUACCAACAUCAGCACUGUGAACUUCACAUUCAACAAAAAUGUCAAGAUCAUCCACAGAGUUCUUGGGCUUUUUGGCUUGACGGGUUUCAAAGUGAUAGAUUUGAGUUUCAAACAUCUGCAAGAGCCAAGUGUUCAUAUGAUGAAGCUUCUCCAAAGACUGAAAAUCCAGAGAAAAUUCACUGGCUCCUAACAUCGCCACGGUCUGAGUGCUUGAAAUGCCGGCCACCACAACUGCUAGCAAGAAACAACUGAUUUGUAUCUGCUAUAAGCAGCCCUUCCAUGAAAUGGUGAUUCUUCUAAAAGACUGUGCCCAGGUUCUCCCCGCUCCAGAGCCCUCUCCCUCUCCUCCAUGAGACCAGCUCACCUCUGAGCAGCUGGAGCCAAACCAGGAUGGGGGAAAGGCAGCAUGAGGGGUAAGGCAGG